This is a long non-coding RNA of Cyprinus carpio (common carp), 1329 nucleotides long. RefSeq lists it as uncharacterized. NCBI's taxonomy places the organism in Eukaryota, Metazoa, Chordata, Actinopteri, Cypriniformes, Cyprinidae. The transcript has 4 exons. The record is from RefSeq and is a predicted model, not a curated record.
UCUAAUGGUUUUAAUGGACAUUGUAAUGGUCUCUGUUGGUCUCUAUUGGUAAUUUGCUUUCUUCUAUUGGUGGCAUGUAUUGUCUAUUGGAUAUCAUUAAGGACCAAUAGAACACCUUUGGAAACUUCUGGUGGUAUCUACUGGACACCAGUAGAAACCAUUAUGACUCCAAUAAAUUAAGUGGUUUCUUUGGAAAACUGUAAUGGUCUUAGUUGGUAUACUGCUGCAAAAAAAAAAAAAAAAAAAAAAAAUGAACACACAAACAAUAGAAACCAUUACAGAAUUUGUAAGGGUUUUAGUGGUUCUAAUGGGAAUUCUGUUGGUUUUAUUGUAAUGGUCCCUAUGGGUCUCUAUUUGUAAUUUGCUUUCUUUUAUUGGUGGCAUGUAUUGUCUAUUGGAUACCGUUAAGGACCAAAAGAACACCUUUGGAAACUUCUGCUGGUACCCAACCAGCACCAGACGUCAUUUGGACAUGGUUUUGUUUUUUGUUUUUUUGGCUAAAUCAACUCGGCCCGUCAUGGCCUUCUUUUAGAUCAAAAAUUGACGUUGAAAGUUGGUCUCUGCUUGGUUCGUCGGAUUUGGUCCAAAUUUUGCCCUAAAAUCAGCAAUGGUCUUUUUUUUGUCUGUCUGAUUUGGUUCAAAUAUAGCCCCAAAAUCUAUGUUUAAUAUUAGGUUUUGUUUGGUCCAUCUGAUUUGGACCAAAUUUAGGCCAAAAAUAAAUGUUGAAAUAACAGUGAAAUUCUGCAUGACUUCUACGUGCUGUCAUGGGCGCGCGCGCUGAACUGGAGAGGAGGACGUCACCAUGGAAACGAGGCGGCAGCCCAACCGUCAAGCAGCUGAACGCUGACUCUCAAUGUGGUUUUCACUAUUUUUUAGGUAAGUUUCGUCUAUAUAUAUAUAUAAUUACACAAAUAGUACAUUAAAGUGUUUCUGACACUUUAUUUCAUGUAAAUGAUACGCUUCCGUUUAAUAUUUACUUUAUAGAAAUGGUUUAGUGUCGUCAGAAAAAGUCCGUUAGCAUCUCAACCGUAAGGCUAACUACAAGAGGUUCUUCCAUGCUGAUGGCUGUGCUCUAGAGUCAUAUCUCCUGUCGAAGAACAUUUUUAGACACUAUGAACCAUGAAAAAGUGUCUGUCUCAGAAGCUGAAGAAAAGAGGCCACACCUCAGAUGAAAUAAGCGCCUCCUAAGUGUACGGAAAUACCUGGCUGAGAAGAUCAAUGACAUAAACCAGAUAAAACUGUCAGUGGUCUAAAACAGCUACAAUGAAGCUACAAAUGCAGUUCAUAGUUCCUGUAUUUCUAUAAUGCAUUAAUGAAUAACAAUAAUUU